GACGAACGCUGGCGGCGUGCUUAACACAUGCAAGUCGAACGGUAAGGCCCUUCGGGGUACACGAGUGGCGAACGGGGGAGUAACACGUGGGUGAUCUGACCUGCACUUUGGGAUAAGCCUGGGAAACUGGGUCUAAUACCGGAUAGGACCAUGGCAUGCAUGUGCUGUGGUGGAAGGCUUUUGCGGUGUGGGUUGGGCCCGCGGCCUAUCAGCUUGUUGGUGGGGUGAUGGCCUACCAAGGCGACGACGGGUAGCCGGCCUGAGAGGGUGUCCGGCCACACUGGGACUGAGAGACGGCCCAGACUCCUACGGGAGGCAGCAGUGGGGAAUAUUGCACAAUGGGCGCAAGCCUGAUGCAGCGACGCCGCGUGGGGGAUGACGGCCUUCGGGUUGUAAACCUCUUUCAAUAGCGACGAAGCGCAAGUGACGGUACCUAUAGAAGAAGCACCGGCCAACUACGUGCCAGCCGCCGCAGUAA
This 478-nucleotide ribosomal RNA is filed under the name uncultured bacterium. Its description in RNAcentral is "partial 16S ribosomal RNA". It matches the Rfam family "Bacterial small subunit ribosomal RNA", at positions 28 to 523 of the family's 1533-position model. The record is from RNAcentral.